This 2268-nucleotide ribosomal RNA is filed under the name Triticum aestivum (bread wheat). RNAcentral's name for it is "partial small subunit ribosomal RNA". Lineage: Eukaryota; Viridiplantae; Streptophyta; Magnoliopsida; Poales; Poaceae. The record is from RNAcentral.
AUGUCCGACACAAAUGCAACAUCGGCAUCGCAGGAAGAGAAUGUCCUUAAGAGAAAGUCAGAUGAUGUGGGAUGGGAGUACGGGAGUCUAGCUGAUGCUUCCAACAAGGAUAAAGUGAAGUGUAUGUUCUGUAACCAUGUGAGCACGGGAGGUGUUUAUCGUCACAAGCAGCAUGUGGCUCAUAUUGGUAAUGCUGUGGUCAAAUGCAAGAAAAGCUCUCAGGAAGCUAAAGACAGGUGCAAGAAAUCUCUUGAGGAUGCAUCUAAUAAGAGGAGGGAAAAGACUGCCCGUGAGCAAGAGCUUAGACAAAGUAUGAACAUUUCUCGCGUUGGAGAUGAAGAUGCUGCUCAUAUCGAAAGCACGGAGCCACACAAAUUAGGUCCUAUUGACAAGUGGGCACGGCCUAUUGAUCCUAAAUUGACUCAAGCUGAAGCCUUGCAUCAACAGAAGAUAAAUAAGGAAUUUUGGAAAAAGAGAACACAUGAAGUGCAACAGUAUGUGGCUAGAUGGGUGUACAAUCAUGCUAUACCAUUCAAUGCUUGUGACAACGAUGAUUUCAAGUUAAUGUGUGAAGCCAUUGGGAGGUUUGGUCCUGGAUUUGAGCCGCCAUCUAAACAUGACCUUCGAGAGACUUUGCUGAGUGAGGAACAUGCAAGAGUGAAGAGUUUGCUGCAAGAACGUGAUGCUGAAAAGAUGAAGAAUGGCUGCUCCAUUAUGAUUGAUGCUUGGUCAGAUAGGAAGAGGAGAAGCAUAAUGAACUUGUGCACAAACAGUGCUGAUGGUUCUAGUUUUAUAAGGUCGAGUGAGAUGUCGGCUGUAUCGCACACAAGUGAAGUCAUCUUCCAAUUAGUGGAUGAAGCAAUUGAAGAAGUAGGUCCUGAAAAUGUGGUCCAAGUAGUGACUGAUAAUGCUUCUAAUAACAUGGGGGCAAAGAAGAUGUUGUUGGAGAAGCGGUCGAACAUGUUUUGGAGCUCUUGUGCGACGCACACCAUUAACUUGAUGUUGCAAGGAAUUGGCGAUCUGCCAAGGUUUAGUAAGGUACUUGAAAAAGCAAAAGCAUUCACUAUCUUUGUCUAUGGGCACACACGGACCUUGGACUGCAUGAGACACUUCUCUUCAGGGAAAGAGAUCAUAAGGCCAGGGGUCACUAGGUUUGCUUCUGCUUAUCUAACUUUGGAAAGCCUUCUAGAAAAAAAGGAUCAACUGAGGAAGAUGGUGGUUGAUGGUAGAUGGGACAAACUAAGACUAGUUAAAUCAAAAAAGGGAAAGGUAGCAACAGCUACGAUGAUGAGCAUGGCUUUUUGGAAAGAUUUGAAGCUUUGCCUGAAUGUCUUUGAGCCUUUGGUAAAAGUCCUUCGUUUGGUUGAUGGGGAUGUCAAGCCAUCUAUGGGUUUUGCCUAUGGAGAAAUAGUGAAGGCAAAGAAAGAGAUCAAGGAAGUCUAUGGCAAUGUGGAGUCACGUUACAAAGAUGUGAUUAAUAUUGUUGAGAAAAAGAUGAAAGAUCGACUUGACUCUCCGUUGCACUUGGCUGCAUACUUACUGAAUCCAUAUUAUAGCUAUGUUGAUACUAAUAUUUUUGAUGAUGGGACAAUAACUGAAGGGUUCAUUAGCUGUGUGGAGACCUUUUAUUAUGGUGAUGAUGACAAGCAAGAUCAAGUUGUCAAUUUUGAAUUAAAGAGAUUCCAGAAUAGAGAAGGAUCAUUUGCAAAGAAGCUUGCGAGGAGUUGUCAGAAUUUUGAUUAUAAUGUAGCAUCUUGGUGGAGGCUCUAUGGAACUGAAGCACCAGCUCUUCAAAGGAUGGCUGUGAGAAUCCUCUCAUUGACCUCAAGUUCUUCGGUCUGUGAAAGGAAUUGGAGUACCUUCGAAAAUAUUCAUACGAAGAAAAGAAACAGGCUAACUACAGAACGUCUAAACUCUCUUGUGUUCAUACAAUUCAACUCGAGAAUGAUGGCCAAGAAACAAAUGAUCAAGGAGAAGAAGAUCAUUGAUGUCCUCUUAUCCGCUGAAACUACCGAAGCUCAAGGUUUUCUUUUUGAGGGCGGAGAUGAUUAUGCAGAAAUCGUCUAUAGGGAUGAUGAUGAGGAGGAGAUGGAUAGUACAGGGAUGCCAGGGAGUGGCAUUGGAGAAGCGAUGAGAGUCAAUGAAUUGCUCGAGCCACGUAGAAGUGUGAGACUAAGACAACUUUAUGAAGAAGAAGAAUUCGAUUCUGAAGAAGAGGAGUUUGAUGAUGAUGAGGAGAUGCAUUCAGAUGAGGAGAAUGACUAUUGA